RNAcentral lists this ribosomal RNA (253 nucleotides) under uncultured bacterium. Its description in RNAcentral is "partial 16S ribosomal RNA". It matches the Rfam family "Bacterial small subunit ribosomal RNA", at positions 524 to 776 of the family's 1533-position model. The record is from RNAcentral.
UACAGAGGGGGCCAGCGUUAUUCGGAAUUAUUGGGCGUAAAGGGCUCGUAGGCGGUUUGUCGCGUCGGGAGUGAAAACCAUGAGCUUAACUCAUGGCUUGCUUUCGAUACGGGCAGACUAGAGGUAUGCAGGGGAGAACGGAAUUCCUGGUGUAGCGGUGAAAUGCGCAGAUAUCAGGAGGAACACCGGUGGCGAAGGCGGUUCUCUGGGCAUUACCUGACGCUGAGGAGCGAAAGUGUGGGGAGCGAACAGG